Molecule: unclassified non-coding RNA, 276 nt
Filed under: Caenorhabditis elegans
Lineage: Eukaryota; Metazoa; Nematoda; Chromadorea; Rhabditida; Rhabditidae
Description: Non-coding transcript of protein-coding gene gpb-2
Source: RNAcentral
UGUCGCUUAUUCGAUCUUCGAGCAGAUCGUCAAGUAUGUGUGUAUGAAAAAGAAUCAAUCUUGUUCCCCGUAAAUGGAGUCGAUUUCAGUUUGAGCGGUCGUAUUCUAUUUGCUGGUUAUGGUGAUUAUCGUGUCGGUGUAUGGGAUUCGCUGAAAUGCGCCCGUCAUUCAGUACUUUAUGGACAUGAGAAUCGUAUUAGUUGCCUCCGAACUUCUCCUGAUGGAACAGCCGUCUGCUCGGCGAGCUGGGAUUGCACAAUUCGCAUUUGGGCUUGA